This 403-nucleotide ribosomal RNA is filed under the name Fusobacteriota bacterium. RNAcentral describes it as "Fusobacteria bacterium partial 16S ribosomal RNA". It matches the Rfam family "Bacterial small subunit ribosomal RNA", at positions 355 to 776 of the family's 1533-position model. Lineage: Bacteria; Fusobacteriati; Fusobacteriota. The record is from RNAcentral.
UGGGGAAUAUUGCACAAUGGGGGAAACCCUGAUGCAGCGACGCCGCGUGAGCGAAGAAGGUUUUCGAAUCGUAAAGCUCUGUCCCAUGGGAAGAUAAUGACGGUACCAUAGGAGGAAGCCCCGGCUAACUACGUGCCAGCAGCCGCGGUAAUACGAAGGGGGCAAGCGUUGUCCGGAAUCACUGGGCGUAAAGGGUUCGCAGGCGGAAAUGCAAGUCAGUUGUGAAAGGCAGAGGCUCAACCUCUGUAAGCAAUUGAAACUGGAUUUCUGGAGAUGUGGAGAGGCGAGUGGAAUUCCUAGUGUAGCGGUGAAAUGCGUAGAUAUUAGGAAGAAUACCGGUGGCGAAGGCGACUUGCUGGACACAAACUGACGCUGAGGAACGAAAGCGUGGGUAGCAAACAGG